UUCAAAUGACAACAGGAAUAAGAAUAAAGAACAAUGUAAUAGAGAGUCCUAAAUCAUAUGAAAAUUGCCCAGAAAGCCCCCUUUUUAGUCCAGCAAUUCCCUCAUGUCCAGCUAGAGGGAAGCAAUUGCAAGGACAACUAUAGCUUCCUCAGUCUAAGCCAAAACCGCAAGCUCCACCCUUAUCGUCCUCAUUGGGCAAAUCUCACAUGCAAAUCCUUUACAACAUAGCUUCCUGCAGAAAUAAAAGCUCCUCAUCUUCAGAAAUCUCAGUCCCUCUCCGGACACUGAAGAAGUGGCAAUUCCUGCCAAGACACAUUGAGGAAGAGAAAAGAAAUCAUAUAUCCUCACCAAUUUUCUCCCUUCUCCAAUGAAUAUGGAUGCAAGACCAACAACUGAGAGGUCCAGGGAUUGAAAUGCUGAAUUCGACUGUACUCCUUUGAGGGGGGAAAAGAAAAAAAACAAAACACCACACCUAUGGGAAAUAAUACAAGCGAUAAUGCAGAAUUCAAUAUUUCAUAGCUCAUUCAGUCUGAAAAUGCAUCUGCUCUUGGAUACAUUUAAUAGCAUCCAGUCUGGGCCUUGGGAAAUAGGACAGGAUCAUCGGCUGACCUGCACUAUCUUUAAAUAUGAUCAUAUGGAAAACUGGAGCUCGGUCCAGCGCCACUGAUGAAAGGACAGAAAACCAAUGGAUUGGAUGGGACGUAUAUCUCUACAUGAUGCAUAUUCACAACGUUUCUUAUAUUUUUAAAAGCUUGAAUACUUUUCUUCACGGAUGCCACCAGAACCUAGGAUUAUUUGGAGUGAAUAUACCAAGAGAAACAGACUUUCUAUUACAGGAAAGAUGGAUGUCACCUGCACAGUUGUAAACUCAGAUUUGAAGUCUCCAGGUUAAAAUCCAUUUCUACAUAAAUUUCUCCUUGGCAAGGCAUUUAUCCAUUAUAGUCAAGUCACCUCUGAAUAUAUCUGAUAAGUAGAAGAAACUUUGUAAGCAUUUUAACUAAGAAAAAAAAAAAACAGGAAUUGAAGAGGAAGAUGUGGAAUAUUUUCUUCUUCCAUUUCUUCAAUGGAUUAAAUCUUUCCCCUCCCCCCAUCUUCUUCACUCAGCGGCCAGUUACCAUAUGUAUGAGCUAAAAGGUCUCCAGUUUAUGCCACCAAUGGUUUAUUGCAACAUUGGGAAGAAACACAUGUGGAUUAAGCCAAUCAGUCCCACCUGAGAAAAUAAUUUUGUAAGACUGUACCACUGUCUCCAGGACCAAGAUUUACCACAGUUAAAGAGCCGGUGUCAAAGGAUGGUCAUCCUCGCUAUAAAGAAGCAGCAACUGGCAGACAGCAUACUACAGGAUUUCUUCAUAUUAUUGAUAUUACUUGUCAAGGGACAAUCAAAUUUUGUAUGGUCAUGUACCACUGUGUAAUAUGGCGUGGGUCUCACAAUGGUAAAUGCCCUAUCAAAAACCUAGAUACUAUUAGAAGAAGCACAAAGAAUUUGAGCCUGGAAAGUUCUCCGAGUCAUUUCCAUUACACUGAAAAUUGACUGCGAGUGAGGGGAAAAAAAAAAACCCCACUGACACAUGCUAUCGAUAAAGGAUUGCACUUUUUCUGUAAUAAUCACCCUAGACUGAGAUUUUCAGAGGAACAACUAAGAAUUAGCUAAAUCCUAUUGAUUUAGGGAUAAUAGUCAUCUGUCCAUCCACCCAUUCAUAGAAUCAGAGAAAAUUAGGGUUGGAAGGGACCUCAAGGAGGUCAUCUAGUCCAGCAUUUCUCAACCUGUGGGUCCUGACCCAAAAGUGGGUCACAAGAAUAUAUGAAAGGGUUGUGAACAAACUUUAAAAAAAAGUGGAUCAAACUUGAAAAAUGUAUACACACUUUUCUAUCCAUCACUCCUUCCAUUUCUCGUAUGCCACAUUUAUCUGUCUCUCUCUCCAAUUAGCGGUCUGUCAAUUUACAGCCACCAACCACCCAGUUCUCUAUCCAUCUAAACACUCCAACUGGCCACCCAUGUCCAUCCCAUCCCAUACAUACACACACACCAAUAUUCCCACACACCCCAUCUAUCUAAAUAUGCCACUGAAGCAAUUUUAGCCUUGGUAUAAUCAAACAAAACACAUUUGAUGAACUCAAGGGUAGCAAAAAUGUCACUGUAGAACGCUGAUAACUCUCUCAACCUCAGCAGGGUUUGGGCACCCAACUCCCAGAGGUUCCUUUGAAAGAUUUAACUAUAGCAGAGAUAAUUUGGACAACCUACCUGUAAGCUUUGAUUUUUUCACAACCUUAAAUAGCCAACCCUGAAGCCCCAAUGUUCUAGUGCUCCUUUUUUCUUUUCUUUUUUAAUUUUCUUCCAUACUUCUCAUUGGAAUUUGCACUGUGGUAUCCUCUCAAGCUGAAAUUCAUUUUAGAAGAAUAAAUCUAAGAUGAUAAAA
This is a long non-coding RNA of Alligator mississippiensis (American alligator), 2417 nucleotides long. RefSeq lists it as uncharacterized. The transcript is spliced from 2 exons. Lineage: Eukaryota; Metazoa; Chordata; Crocodylia; Alligatoridae. The record is from RefSeq and is a predicted model, not a curated record.